Molecule: ribosomal RNA, 253 nt
Filed under: uncultured bacterium
Lineage: Bacteria
Description: partial 16S ribosomal RNA
Rfam family: Bacterial small subunit ribosomal RNA
Source: RNAcentral
UACGUAGGGGGCGAGCGUUGUCCGGAUUUAUUGGGCGUAAAGGGCUCGUAGGCGGCCAACUAAGUCAGACGUGAAAUCCCUCGGCUUAACCGGGGAACUGCAUCUGAUACUGGAUGGCUUGAGUUCGGGAGAGGGAUGUGGAAUUCCAGGUGUAGCGGUGAAAUGCGUAGAUAUCUGGAGGAACACCGGUGGCGAAGGCGGCAUCCUGGACCGACACUGACGCUGAGGAGCGAAAGCCAGGGGAGCAAACGGG